Molecule: ribosomal RNA, 35 nt
Filed under: Lankesterella sp. Guelph2013
Lineage: Eukaryota; Apicomplexa; Conoidasida; Eucoccidiorida; Lankesterellidae
Description: small subunit ribosomal RNA
Source: RNAcentral
GAAAAGAAACAGAUGCCAGGCCAACUGAACUCGUU